This is a non-coding RNA of Styela clava, 3343 nucleotides long. NCBI's taxonomy places the organism in Eukaryota, Metazoa, Chordata, Ascidiacea, Stolidobranchia, Styelidae. The record is from RefSeq and is a predicted model, not a curated record.
GUAGCUGACUUCAAAAUUUGACAUUGUCCGUCUUCCAAAAUCGGACCAGCAAAAUGUAGUUGGCUUGAAAGUUUGACAUUAUCUGGCUUCCAAAAUCGGACCAGCAAAAUGUAGUUGGCUUGAAAAUUUGACAUUAUCUGGCUUCCAAAAUCGGACCAGCAAAAUGUAGUUGACUUGAAAAUUUGACAUUAUCUGGCUUCCAAAAUCGGACCAGCAAAAUGUAGUUGGCUUGAAAAUUUGACAUUAUCUGUCUUCCAAAAUCGGACCAGCAAAAUGUAGUUGGCUUGAAAAUUUGACAUUGUCUGGCUUCCAAAAUCGAACCAGCAAAAUGUAGUUGGCUUGAAAAUUUGACAUUAUCUGGCUUCCAAAAUCGGACCAGCAAAAUGUAGUUGGCUUGAAAAUCUGACAUUAUCUGUCUUCCAAAACCUUGCAUAAGGAUAAAGGACUGUUUCGAAUUUUUAUUAGGAUUGAUAUAUUCAUCUUGGGGUAAGAGGUACGCCAAUGUGACGACUUAAUCACAUGGCGAACCACGGCCUCUCGUCCAGUUACCAUUUCAUCUAGAGUAUGGAAUUACUAAGCCAGGUAUUUGUUUCGGAUGUAUGGACUUGGUUUCAGAUGCAAGGAAUUGGUGGCGAAGCAAGCCAUAACAAACCACGGCCUCUCGUUCGGUUACCAUUUCAUAUCGAGAAUAGAAUUACUAAGCCAGUUAUUUGUUUCGGAUAUAUAUACGGACUUGGUUUCAAAUGCAUAAACUUGAUGAUUGAGGAAGCCAUACCCGACCAGCGGUCACCUGAACCACACUCACUGAUAAAUUGGGAGUCAAACAAUAACUGGCGUAAGAAAAAAAUUGAAAUAAUAUGGAAUGAAAGAUUCAAUUUGGUGCUACAAAUAAGCUGCGCCAUCAAACAUUCCUGCUUAACACAGUUCCCAAUAAUGUUUCAAAUUUAUUGAAAUGAGUGUUUCGGAUUUGCACUAAAACUGAGAUAACAGACUUUAAUUGGUAAAAGCUUCUAAUGCUUUAAAAUGGUUAUUUAAAUUUGCGACUAAAAAAUUAAUUACGGGUCCCCUGACACUAACUGAUUUGCCCAAAUCUCAUCACUCGAUGAAAAUUGAGCAGGGGGUUGAGAGCACCCACUGAAAGUUUACGAUGCUACCAAAGCCGGAUGUAGUUCUAGUAAGAUAUGUAAUCAGAUAAAGCUUUAAUGAGGCUAAUCGGACAAAGUGAAACUAAAAGUUUUUAAAUGUAGAAAGUCAUAUUGAGAUUUUAUUAUAAAUUUUUAAAUUAGAAGUCGUGGAAGCUUUGAAAACGUAAUUAUUUGACAUUCGAGAGCUUCAAUAAGAUUUGCAAGCAAGAAGCCAAUUGAAAUAGUUGAAUCUAUAAUUAGUGACGUAAGUUAUUAGUGCAGGAAAUAUGUACAGUAAUACUACUCAGUAUAUUCUAGAAAGCCCCAGCGAGAUGAGGACAAACUCGGCAAAUUUAGAGGACGUUUUGCGAAGCAUGACUGCGAAGCUGUAUGUGACCAUUUUAUGAACGAAAACCUCUUUUGGACAUGCCCGCAGAUCGAAAUCAUACAAACUAUUUUUGUGAACUAAGACGGAAAGUUUUGAGAUAUUUUCAAGAAUUGUUGUUUUCAUUGAUAGUUUUUAUGACCAUUCAAGUCUGAAUGUUUUGAUACAUCUUUUUGGUCAGAAAAUGCAGAAACAUUAGGAUUAAGUUUGCAAUUAGCGAGUCUAUUCCAGCAUCGGAUCAAGCGCAGAGGCUGAAGGAUAUAUUUAUAAGCGCAGCAGCGAUUGAAGUAUUUAUAGAGUAGGUUCCCAUUGUGAAAUAUAGUUUGCAAUAGUUUCAUUGCUUAUAACAGAAAUGAGGAUUUUAAUAACAGUGGUUAGCUGAAUGACGAAACUCUACGGACGUUGGAAGAGGCAUAUACGUUUUGAAAUCGAAAUUAGUCUUACUACGGAAUGUGAAACUCCCUGUUCGCAUUUACUAACACAAAGAACAAUAGUUUUGGGCAAUUGAAGAAAAUCGUUCAAUACCAACUUCAUUACUUGAAAUCGAGAUGAUUGGAACUGACUGGUACAAAUAUUCGUUCGGUGAUGAUUCGAAUCUGGAAAUAACAUCGUUCGCAAAACAUAUAUCACACAUGGUUUCAAUAGUCCAAUGAAGUCGACACAUUUUCUCAAAUGCAAAAUUCAAAAAGUCAUGGCGCGUUUGAAAUUUUGGCAAGAAUGAUUUCAAGCCUUUAUAAACUUCAUAAUUUACAAAUUUUUCUCCAUCAUUGAAAGAAAAGCAAUCAAUGACUAUUAACUCAAAUCAUUAUCAAAGACGAAUCUCAAAUGAUUAAUAGUUCUGGCUAGUGUCUAUCAAAAAGGAUGUGGCAGUGCAAUAUCAACAUAUGAAUUUGUUCGGAAGAUGUUACCUGGAACACAAAUACUCUUAUAUGGUGCACAGACCCACUUGAGAUCUGUCUCAUGUCCUUUGUUUGGAUUUUUAUGUAUAGAGAUUGAACUCUGAAUUCUUCGAAAAACUUGCUGUUCGUUAUCAGUAUAUAUAAUAUCAUCCAAGUCAAAACACGGAAAUCCUUUAUAAUUCACAAAAGAAGAGGCCAGAUCUUUGGAAAUAAAGUUGGCAGCGAUUAAACCGGUUGGUGAAGGCCUUUUGUCGCCACAGACUUUGCAACAACAACAUUUGUCCCGAACAGACGCUGAAGACUACAACUUAUUCAUCGCCAAGAAGACUGGUAUGCGAUUACCAGUAAAAAGGUAUAUACGUUUUGUAUGCGCAACAACAACAUUUGUUCCGGACAGGCAUCGAAGACCACAACUUAUCCAUUGCCAAGAAGACUUACAUGCGAUUACCAAUGUCAAGAUACGUUUGGUAUGCGAUUAACACGAACGAAGAGUUUCGCGGAAUCGAAGUGAAGAACCGAUUAUGCAAAAUGAAGAUUCAAUAUGAAGCUAACCAGAGUAAAAAAGAAAACGAAAAAGAAAAUCUCGUUGCUGCGCGGAUCCUGGGUGGACAAAAUAAUGUACAACUAAACUACCAUAAGGGUUUAACAAGCGCUGACGGAAGCAUGAUGCCGACAAAACCGAUGUUCGACGGAAAGGGUAGUAAAUAUUUAUGUUGGUGACGCUGAAGGGCUCGAAUUGAGGAUGAAUGAACGGAAUGGUGUAAGAAUUUAUUCCUACAUGAAUACAAUUUAUGUAUUUCAGGUGCUUUUCUAUAGUGUUUUUAUGUUGAGGUUUCGGAAAAUACAGAAGUUGGAACAUGACAUUGCAAGUUGAAUCUGGACAUAAUGGUUGUAUGGCUUCUGAUUUGUUGACAAUUGAUCUCCAAAUAUGCUGC